GAUGAACGCUGGCGGCGUGCCUAAUACAUGCAAGUCGAGCGAACAGACGAGGAGAUUGCUCCUCUGACGUUAGCGGCGCACGGGUGAGUAACACGUGGAUAACCCACCUAUAAGACUGGGAUAACCUCGGGAAACCGGCGCUAAUACCGGAUAAUAUAUUGAACCGCAUGGUUCCAUAGUGAAAGACGGUUUUGCUGUCACUUAUAGAUGGAUCCGCGCCGCAUUAGCUAGUUGGUAAGUUCACGGCUUACGACGGCAACGAUGCGUAGCCGACCUGAGAGGCUGUUCGGACCUACAGGAAGUGCCACGCUGAGAAGACUCCUAAGGGAUGCAGCGGUAGAGAAAUUGCCGCAAUAGGCGAGAGACGGACGGAGGAACACGUCGUGGGUGAUGAUGGGCUUACGAGCGUAAGAGUCGGUUAUUGGGGCAGAACAAAUGUGUAUUGAACUAUGCCCGUAUUGACGGUACCUGAUCAGAAAGCAACGGCUAACUACGUG
Molecule: ribosomal RNA, 497 nt
Filed under: uncultured bacterium
Lineage: Bacteria
Description: partial 16S ribosomal RNA
Rfam family: Bacterial small subunit ribosomal RNA
Source: RNAcentral